Hypoxylon sp. EC38 is the source of this 104-nucleotide non-coding RNA. NCBI's taxonomy places the organism in Eukaryota, Fungi, Ascomycota, Sordariomycetes, Xylariales, Hypoxylaceae. The record is from the annotation of a GenBank genome assembly.
GCCCGACUAGCUCAUCGGUAGAGCGCCUCACUAGUAUAUCUUCUUUACACGGAAAAUAUCACAUUGAAAUGAGGAGGCAACAGGUUCGAUUCCUGUGUUGGGCA